ACCCGCUGAACUUAAGCAUAUCAAUAAGCGGAGGAAAAGAAACCAACAGGGAUUGCCUCAGUAACGGCGAGUGAAGCGGCAACAGCUCAAAUCUGAAAUCUGGCCCUAGGCCCGAGUUGUAAUUUGCAGAGGAUGCUUUUGGCAAGGUGCCUUCCGAGUUCCCUGGAACGGGACGCCAUAGAGGGUGAGAGCCCCGUCUGGUCGGACACCGAGCCUCUGUAAAGCUCCUUCGACGAGUCGAGUAGUUUGGGAAUGCUGCUCAAAAUGGGAGGUAUAUGUCUUCUAAAGCUAAAUAUUGGCCAGAGACCGAUAGCGCACAAGUAGAGUGAUCGAAAGAUGAAAAGCACUUUGAAAAGAGAGUUAAAUAGCACGUGAAAUUGUUGAAAGGGAAGCGUUCAUGACCAGACUUGGCCCGGUUGAUCAUCCAGCGUUCUCGCUGGUGCACUCUGCCGGUCCAGGCCAGCAUCAGUUCGUCGCGGGGGACAAAGGCUUCGGGAAUGUAGCUCCCUCCGGGGAGUGUUAUAGCCCGCUGCGUAAUACCCUGCGGUGGACUGAGGUCCGCGCUUCUGCAAGGAUGCUGGUGUAAUGGUCAUCAACGACCCGUCUUGAAACACGG
Molecule: ribosomal RNA, 616 nt
Filed under: uncultured fungus
Lineage: Eukaryota; Fungi
Description: eukaryotic LSU rRNA
Rfam family: Eukaryotic large subunit ribosomal RNA
Source: RNAcentral